AGGAACAGGGCUUGUGCGGGGGGAAAGGGGGUGCCACCCCAUCUUAAUCUGAUCCCUUUCUCCUCAUCCAGGUCACUAACACCCCCGCCGGCCGCUGUGUACCACCACCUGGCCACUGCCUGCAGAAGCGAUGGUCUGAACCAGCCUCCAGAAACCUCCAGUAGGCAGGGUGGGUCAGCAGAGAAGCCGUCAGAUAUGUAUGAGCCUCUUAAACAGUCCAGACAUCCUGGAUAUUCCUGGUCAUUCCCAGGACCCUGGCUGGGACCAACCCCUACACCUGUUAGGAAAAAGUUUACAGGCAGGGAAAAGGCUUCUUGCAAGCAAGGUCAUUCUCUGUAGUGCCUAUUGGACAUCUCGCGGCCUAUGUAGUGAAUGUACAAUAAAGUGUGUCCUGUGA
Long non-coding RNA from Ornithorhynchus anatinus (platypus), 397 nucleotides. RefSeq lists it as uncharacterized. NCBI's taxonomy places the organism in Eukaryota, Metazoa, Chordata, Mammalia, Monotremata, Ornithorhynchidae. The record is from RefSeq and is a predicted model, not a curated record. The transcript is spliced from 2 exons.